Molecule: long non-coding RNA, 4012 nt
Organism: Larimichthys crocea (large yellow croaker)
Lineage: Eukaryota; Metazoa; Chordata; Actinopteri; Sciaenidae
Exons: 2
Source: RefSeq, a predicted model, not a curated record
AGGAUGGCACGCUGAGCAGACAGAUAGAGAUGAACUCAUCUCAGCUCAGAGUGUUUCAAAGUUAGUCACGUCAUUUUCUGAACUCAUUUGACACGUUUCAUGAGAAUUCUUCUCAUUUCUACCCAAUUUCAUAAACCUCAUUCAAAUUUGGCUGGCUUUCUUCUUUGCUCUGACACUCGGAACACAUUUAUUCUGACUUGACAGGACUUUAAUGAGCAUGCUGCUGGUAAGAAAAAAGAAUAUUACCAAGAAAUAGCUGUCACAAGAGAGCCUGGCUCUGAAUGCACGGAUGGAAAUCACAAUAAACAUUUACAAAAUCGAGAACAACAGGCAUUUGUUGAUCAUGAGACGGGUCACUUAUGUACGUAUUCAAGGAUCAGUGAUCAUGUUGUAAAGAAAACGAUCACUCCCUGACUCCUCCUGGUGUAAUGAGCAUCAAAAGCUCAUUUUUGUUGCCUCGCUUACUGUGUUACAAUCCAUCUCUGGCUGCUAAAGUCUGCCGUGUUUUAUUAAACUUGGAUCACAGGCUGCAGCCGGUGUAGCCGAGUCUUCAGUCAAACAGCGAAAAGGCAGUCCUUUAAUGCACCGGUCUGCUAAAGUACUUAACACUCUUUAUUAUGAUAAAGAAAGUUAAAAAUGAAGACUGGAGUUUAAUGGUCUACACACACAGUUCCCACCAGAUUUUGGACUGUUCUUCGCUCUAAGUGUGAAGUUGGAGGGCUUCAGCGGGUAAACACUGUUAACAGACAGUUGGAAGGUUUCCAUGGGGAGAAAAGGGGAUUGUUUCGGGUGUAUUUUGGCAGCGGUUUUGGCGUGUAGCUGAUGCUGGUAAUGGCAUGAAGGUGGGGGCUGCCGUCGGCUUGGGAUUUUUUUUGGUAAAUGUGCCAUUAUUUACGAGUCGGGUGGGCUGAGAGGGGGGACAAUAAACUUUCAUUUCUGGGAAAGCCAUUUGAUUUUACUAGACUUUGUAGAACCUAUAAGAGAAACACACACACAAAAAAAGGGGGCAAACCAGAAAGUAUUUAACAAGCGCAAAAAGUGUUUCCAUAUUCAGCUGUCACACAACACAGCAAUAAUGUGAGUACUCCCCUGGGUUUGACGGAGUCAUGCGGGCCCGAUGUGACACUAAUAGCGCUUUACUGGAAACGUACACAAGCAGUGCUGUGUAUGUUUCUGUGGGCAUGCUAAUGACAUCAAACCACUCACAAAAGCUAAAAAAAACCCAAGUCGAUGCAUAAUUCAUGUCAUUUUCUUCUGAUUGUAAAAUCUCUGUGACUUGCUGACACACAUGUUACUAGUCGGAUUACAAUAAACAUCUACCACGACAAGUCGUCUAGUGUCACAUUCGGCCUUCUGAUCUUAAAUCAAGAGCAACGCUGUGACAGUAGGAAUGACGUGAUUCCACUUGGUCUCGAUUAAGUUCCCUUUGUUUGAGGAAUUCCUUUAAAAAUUAGUAUUAAUAUGUUGAGACGAGCCAGCGGUAGCGUGAAGAAGAUGACAUUUGGUUUUCGUAAUAAGCUUUUCUGUUAGAAACACACUCAAAAACGGACUAAUUGACUUGUUAAGACGGUUGUGUUUAGGUCUGGAUGCUUCCACAUGUUGGCAGACAAGCAAUUGGACCCCUGUGUGGUAUAUGGCUGUAGGAUAAUCCCCAUUGUCCCGUUGGAUGCAUGUGGCUGAGACCCAGGAACUGCUCUGGCCUGGAUGUUAAGCCCUGGCAGCAGGAAAAAUUAUAGCUUUGGCCAGGAAAAGUCAACCAAAUGGGCUGAUUCUUCUCAUUCAAUCCAAAGGACUUCACACAGCUGCACUUUUCUUUCACUGCCAGGGAAGAAGACGGUCUGAAAGAGAGAGAGGCGGAGUGGGGAACAGUUGGGGGGCAUUUGGACUGGAUCAGCCUCAAAGAACAAAAAAAUAGAAGAGCAAGAGGCGGCUUAGACUCAUCUUGGACAUCAAACUCUAUUUUUGGGCUGUGUUUGGACUCGUAAACAAUCCCUCAGAUUUGUUUCUCGUGAUUGGAGACGCUUUUCAGCGAGGACGGAUAUACUUCACGAGCGAACGUGACUCUCUGGGAGUCACAGCAGGUCAUGGAGAAGAAAAGAGCGUCCGUUACAAGGACAUUUCAUCCGAGAUGUUUAACAGAUGAGUAAUGUGCUGCUCACCACUGCACCCACCUUACAGUGUUACUUGAGUUGCAGAACCGAUUUGCAUCCUCGUAAACCAAAAUGCUAAGGUGGCCCCGAGUGCUCAGCAACAACUUGACAACAUGUUGAUUGAUCAGGGGAAAUUGGUUUGCAGAGUGGCCACAAAAACCGAACAAUGAAGCAAUAAAAACACACGCAGUAAAAAGAGUUUACAUGCGGCACACACCCAGAACCAGUGAUGGGGUGGGUUUGACAGAAGGAAAACAACCCCAAACAAGUCGUCCUUUCUCAAAAUCAGUGUGUCUAAGACUGAAGAGAUGCUGAUCUCAGCAUCAGCAAUUGUUCCGUUACAGAAAACGAUUUGCAAUUUGCAAUGUCGACAGGGCUUUUAUGCUGAAACUGUUCUUACUUUGUGAGUUGGUCCGCUUUAAACGGGUCAGAGUUCAUUUCCUCGGACAGUCCACUUCGUUUGGGCAGGUGUGAAAGCUCUUCUGAACCAAAGAGAUGAAGUGAACCAAAAACCUAUGUACAGAGCAACAUGCUGCCUUACCUGCUGCUUGCUUACCAAUUAGGUCUGAACACCAAACCAAUAGAUCUAACAAUCCGCUUUCAAAACAAAGCGAACCAAACCAACCAACAAAUGAAGGUGUGAAAUUUUUUCGGCGUUCCCCGCCCAAUGAGAACAAGAACAGACUGCAGAGUUUCGUCAAGCUGAACGGAACCAGGUCGCUGAAGAAGGCCCGGUCGGUCCUGGCUGACCUCAGGCUCUGUUUGUCUGAGUUGUUGCAUUAAGAUACAGUCUGCCAAGAUGCAAGAAUAACAGAUGCAAGAACUCCUUUGUUCCUGCUGCUGUUGGCCUCCUUAACAGCUCCAUGUGACUGUUUGGUGCAUUUAUUCUUCAUUUAUUGGUUGUUUGUUAUUUAUGUUUGUGUUGUUACUGCUGCUGCAUCACAAAUUGCCCCUCGGGGAUGAUAAAGAUUACCUUAAAAAAAAAAAAUAUUGCAUAAGAAAGCAUGCUUUUUACAUGUAGAUUCUUUAGGCUGAAUACGUGUUGUCGGAUUCUCAACUUGCCUGUGUUUAUUAUUUCCUUGCAGCACUUUUUUUCUGAACUCUCUGAGCAUUUGUUUGUGUUUUUUCUGUUUGUGUUUCCUUAAGUUGCAGUUAAGCUCCCAUAAUUAUCACUAACCAGAAGUUCACUACCUAAAUGCAGAGUAGUAAUGGAAAAAAAUAAAAUAAAAUCACAAACCAUGGAACAAAACACGACAAGUCCCGCAGUGGUGUAUUCAUCAAGUAGUCUGCAGAUAACUAUAAUUUGUAGCAUUCUACUGGCAAUAAAGACAGGCGCUAAAAAAGGUUCAAAUUAAAGCUGCAGUAACAAUAAAAGCAGUUUUUUGUGUUGUUUUUUUUUUUUUUUACAAUAAAUCACACGCCUACAAUAAGAAGGAAUUUGACAUCACCAUAUGCUCCGGGUCGACUGAGGACGUCUCGCAAAAACAACUGAUCCUCCAAUUCUCACAGCUUGAGACAUCAUUUAAUCAGAACCACACUCGCCAUCGCCAUCAUUGCCAUCGCCAUCAUUUCACACGUCAUCAAAAGCCAAUUUCCAAAGUCUCGUUUACGAUAGGCGAGCUGUUGUCGAACAACAGAGCGCAACCGUGUCAUCGGCAUCUGGAGCGAUAUCAAUUAACCCCGGAGAGAAGACACGUCCAAUUCAAUAAAUCUGCGGGGAUAAAGUGUGAGAAAAGUGGGCCGGGUCACACUGGUGAUUGUUUUUUUUUUGUGUUGUCCAGAGUCGGACACAUGGACUGUGUAAUUCUAGUCCAGGAUUGACCACACAGGGCCGGUUGUGAGGUCCAGGGAGUGCUGGAGAA